AGGCAGAUGAUGAAUUAUUAUUAUUUGGACUGAUCAAACUCUUGAUGAUCCAAAAUUCGAGCUUUUUAAAACUGAUGCCUC
Molecule: small nucleolar RNA, 81 nt
Filed under: Solanum lycopersicum (tomato)
Lineage: Eukaryota; Viridiplantae; Streptophyta; Magnoliopsida; Solanales; Solanaceae
Source: RNAcentral